RNAcentral lists this ribosomal RNA (491 nucleotides) under uncultured bacterium. RNAcentral's name for it is "partial 16S ribosomal RNA". It matches the Rfam family "Bacterial small subunit ribosomal RNA", at positions 29 to 506 of the family's 1533-position model. The record is from RNAcentral.
AGUGAACGCUGGCGGUAGGCCUAACACAUGCAAGUCGAACGGCAGCACAGUAAGAGCUUGCUCUUACGGGUGGCGAGUGGCGGACGGGUGAGGAAUACAUCGGAAUCUACUUUUUCGUGGGGGAUAACGUAGGGAAACUUACGCUAAUACCGCAUACGACCUACGGGUGAAAGCAGGGGAUCUUCGGACCUCGCGCGAUUGAAUGAGCCGAUGUCGGAUUAGCUAGUUGGCGGGGUAAAGGCCCACCAAGGCGACGAUCCGUAGCUGGUCUGAGAGGAUGAUCAGCCACACUGGAACUGAGACACGGUCCAGACUCCUACGGGAGGCAGCAGUGGGGAAUAUUGGACAAUGGGCGCAAGCCUGAUCCAGCCAUACCGCGUGGGUGAAGAAGGCCUUCGGGUUGUAAAGCCCUUUUGUUGGGAAAGAAAAGCAGCAGGUUAAUACCCCGCUGUUCUGACGGUACCCAAAGAAUAAGCACCGGCUAACUUCGU